This 1478-nucleotide long non-coding RNA is filed under the name Callithrix jacchus (white-tufted-ear marmoset). RNAcentral describes it as "lncRNA (ENSCJAG00000057429.2)". Lineage: Eukaryota; Metazoa; Chordata; Mammalia; Primates; Cebidae. The record is from RNAcentral.
AGCCUGAAACUCAACAUCCAAAGACCCUUGAAGAGAUCCAGUCCUCUACAUCAGCAAGAAGCCCCAGCGCAGCUUCCACAGCUCCCUGGGGAGGUAGAACCUUCUUCAACCCAGCAGAACGCCCCAGCUCUGCCUUCAGAGUCCCUUGAGGAGGUCUACUCUUUAACAGAGCACGAGGCCCCAGCAUAGCAGCUCCCUGCCUCUGAGAGAUUGUAGCUCAGCCAUUACUACAUCAUCAGGUAAAUAUUCCAUUAAAAAGUUGGAGUGAAGCUCAGCACUCACACUUGCCCAAUGUCAGUCAAGCCUGUGGGUGUGGAGCUUACAGUAACUCCAGAGCCAGGCAAAGAACUUACGUCAAGCCAGGAACAGGCCCAGCUCAGCCUCCAGAGCACCCUGAGGAGGUGGACUCUUCCUCAACCCAAUUAGAGGCCCCAGCUGAGCCUCCAGGUCCUCCUGUGGAGUCUGAACUUUCCCCUAGAGAAAGAAGAAGCCUUCUGAGUUUCCCAGGGAGGUCCCAGCCCAGCCUCCAGAGUCCUCUAUGGAGAGAGCAGCUCAAAUUCGACAGUUCAACCUCCAGAUGAGGAUCAAGCUCCUUAUAACUUGUCCAAUGCUACAGUUAGACCUGCAGAUGUGGAGGUUACCAUACCUUCAGAGCCUAUCGAGGAGACUGAACCUUCUCCAGCCCAGCAGGAGGCCCCAACCCAGCAUCCAGAGGAGGCAAAAACUUCUGCAACCUAAGGGGAGGCCCCAACUGAGGCUCCAGGUCCUCCUGUGGAGCCUAACUUUCCUCCAGUGAGUAGGAGCAGCCAGCUCUGCCUUCUGAGUUUCUCAGGGAGGUUUAACCUUCUGAGAGCCAGCAGGAGGCCCCAGCCCAACCUCCAGAACAUCAUGAAGUAACAGUUUCACCUCCAGGUCACCAUCAAGUUCAUUCGGAUUUGCUCAAUGUCACUGUUAAGACUCCAGAUAGCCACAGAGCCUACUGCAGAGGUAGGAACUUCUCCAAUGCACCAGGAGGCUACAGCUCAGUUCUCAGGGCCAGUUAAUGAUGUAGAAUGUUCCGUCACCCAGCACAGGGCCCACCUCUAUCUCCAUAGUCAUCGGAAGAGGCUGAACCUUUACCAGUUUAGCAGGAGACUUCAGUUCAAUCUCCAGAACCUGCUAAGGAUGAGAACCCCUCUCCAACACAGCAGGAGGCUGCAGCUGAGCAUCCACAGACCUCUGAGGAGGUUGAAUCCUCUCUAUCCUCGAAAGAGACCCCAGCUCAGCCUUCAGAGCUCCCUAAUGAAAGUGUGGUUCAACCUCCACAGCAUCAUGAGGAAGCCCCAGCUGAGUCCUUAAUGUCCCCGGAGCAGUUUCAACAUUUGAAAGACCAGCAAGAGAUUAUAAUUCAGCAGCUAAAUACCCCCGAAAAUGAUGGACUUCCUCCAGGCCAUCAAGAGCCCACAACUCAGCCUCCAACUCAGCUCUCCUCAGAAUUU